Molecule: long non-coding RNA, 215 nt
Filed under: Anser brachyrhynchus (Pink-footed goose)
Lineage: Eukaryota; Metazoa; Chordata; Aves; Anseriformes; Anatidae
Description: lncRNA (ENSABRG00000021942.1)
Source: RNAcentral
CUUCCCCAACCCAAAAUGAUGCUGGGUAAGUCUGUUGGGCUGCAGGGUGAAGAGUUUCUGCAGAGGAGAGGAUGACUGGGGGAAGAGGAGUUGCUUAGGGUAUGGAUUAAGGCCUUGCAAGAGUCUGGAGGGGAGGCUGCUGUGGGGUUCCAGCAUCCUUGCCUGGUUUGGAAAACAGCUGGUUAGCUGACAAGGGAAUCUGACUGCAUCAAGCA